GUGUGCCCCUGGUUUUGCCCUCGGCUUUCUUCCGGUAGCCUUCGGCGCUUCAUUGCGUUGCUGUUGGUGUUCCGGAACUUUUACUUUGAGAAAAAUAGAGUGUUUCAAGCAGGCUUGUCGCCCUGAAUACUUCAGCAUGGAAUAAUAAGAUAGGACCUCGGUUCUAUUUUGUUGGUUUCUAGGACCAAGGUAAUGAUUAAUAGGGGACAGUUGGGGGCAUUCGUAUUUAACUGUCAGAGGUGAAAUUCUUAGAUUUGUUAAAGACGAACUACUGCGAAAGCAUGUUGCCAAGGAUGUUUUCAUUAAUCAAGAACGACAGUAGGGGGUUUGAAGACGAUUAGAUACCGUCGUAAUCUCUACCAUAAACUAUGCCGACUAGAGAUAGGGAAAUGCCUACCUUGGCUUCUCCUGCACCUCAUGAGAAAUCAAUGU
This 432-nucleotide ribosomal RNA is filed under the name Atoxoplasma sp. MS-2003. Its description in RNAcentral is "SSU rRNA". It matches the Rfam family "Eukaryotic small subunit ribosomal RNA", at positions 672 to 1104 of the family's 1831-position model. Lineage: Eukaryota; Apicomplexa; Conoidasida; Eucoccidiorida; Eimeriidae. The record is from RNAcentral.